GCGCCUGUGGCCCAGUGGAUAGGGCACCAGCCUUAUAUACUGAAGGUGGUAGGUUCGAACCCAGCCCUGGCCA
Non-coding RNA from Otolemur garnettii (small-eared galago), 73 nucleotides. Lineage: Eukaryota; Metazoa; Chordata; Mammalia; Primates; Galagidae. The record is from Rfam.